RNAcentral lists this long non-coding RNA (881 nucleotides) under Homo sapiens (human). RNAcentral describes it as "long non-coding RNA NONHSAT152740.1". The record is from RNAcentral. Lineage: Eukaryota; Metazoa; Chordata; Mammalia; Primates; Hominidae.
AGAUGGCCCAAUGGAGGAGUCCAAACCAAAGCCCAGGUCGUUCAUGCCCAACUUGGUGCCUCCCAAGAUCCCCGAUGGAGAGAGAGUGGACUUUGAUGACAUCCACCGGAAGCGCAUGGAGAAGGACCUGAAUGAGUUGCAGGCGCUGAUCGAGGCUCACUUUGAGAACAGGAAGAAAGAGGAGGAGGAGCUCGUUUCUCUCAAAGACAGGAUCGAGAGACGUCGGGCAGAGCGGGCCGAGCAGCAGCGCAUCCGGAAUGAGCGGGAGAAGGAGCGGCAGAACCGCCUGGCUGAAGAGAGGGCUCGACGAGAGGAGGAGGAGAACAGGAGGAAGGCUGAGGAUGAGGCCCGGAAGAAGAAGGCUUUGUCCAACAUGAUGCAUUUUGGGGGUUACAUCCAGAAGGUAGACAGAGCGGAAAAGUGGGAAGAGGCAGACUGAGCGGGAAAAGAAGAAGAAGAUUCUGGCUGAGAGGAGGAAGGUGCUGGCCAUUGACCACCUGAAUGAAGAUCAGCUGAGGGAGAAGGCCAAGGAGCUGUGGCAGAGCAUCUAUAACUUGGAGGCAGAGAAGUUCGACCUGCAGGAGAAGUUCAAGCAGCAGAAAUAUGAGAUCAAUGUUCUCCGAAACAGGAUCAACGAUAACCAGAAAGUCUCCAAGACCCGCGGGAAGGCUAAAGUCACCGGGCGCUGGAAAUAGAGCCUGGCCUCCUUCACCAAAGAUCUGCUCCUCGCUCGCACCUGCCUCCGGCCUGCACUCCCCCAGUUCCCGGGCCCUCCUGGGCACCCCAGGCAGCUCCUGUUUGGAAAUGGGGAGCUGGCCUAGGUGGGAGCCACCACUCCUGCCUGCCCCCACACCCACUCCACACCAGUAAUAAAAAGCCAC